RNAcentral lists this ribosomal RNA (868 nucleotides) under Paenibacillus sp. Its description in RNAcentral is "bacterial SSU rRNA". It matches the Rfam family "Bacterial small subunit ribosomal RNA", at positions 9 to 873 of the family's 1533-position model. Lineage: Bacteria; Bacillati; Bacillota; Bacilli; Caryophanales; Paenibacillaceae. The record is from RNAcentral.
AGAGUUUGAUCCUGGCUCAGGACGAACGCUGGCGGCGUGCCUAAUACAUGCAAGUCGAGCGGUCCCUUCGGGGAUAGCGGCGGACGGGUGAGUAACACGUAGGCAACCUGCCUGUAAGAUUGGGAUAACUAUCGGAAACGAUAGCUAAGACCGGAUAGCUGGUUCUCUCGCAUGAGAGGAUCAUGAAACACGGGGUAACCUGUGGCUUACAGAUGGGCCUGCGGCGCAUUAGCUAGUUGGUAGGGUAACGGCCUACCAAGGCGACGAUGCGUAGCCGACCUGAGAGGGUGAUCGGCCACACUGGGACUGAGACACGGCCCAGACUCCUACGGGAGGCAGCAGUAGGGAAUCUUCCGCAAUGGACGCAAGUCUGACGGAGCAACGCCGCGUGAGUGAUGAAGGUUUUCGGAUCGUAAAGCUCUGUUGCCAGGGAAGAACGCUUAGGAGAGUAACUGCUCUUAGGGUGACGGUACCUGAGAAGAAAGCCCCGGCUAACUACGUGCCAGCAGCCGCGGUAAUACGUAGGGGGCAAGCGUUGUCCGGAAUUAUUGGGCGUAAAGCGCGCGCAGGCGGUCAUUUAAGUUUGGUGUUUAAGCCCGGGGCUCAACCCCGGAUCGCACUGAAAACUGGGUGACUUGAGUGCGGGAGAGGAAAGUGGAAUUCCACGUGUAGCGGUGAAAUGCGUAGAGAUGUGGAGGAACACCAGUGGCGAAGGCGACUUUCUGGACCGUAACUGACGCUGAGGCGCGAAAGCGUGGGGAGCAAACAGGAUUAGAUACCCUGGUAGUCCACGCCGUAAACGAUGAGUGCUAGGUGUUAGGGGUUUCGAUACCCUUGGUGCCGAAGUAAACACAGUAAGCACUCCGCC